This 801-nucleotide ribosomal RNA is filed under the name uncultured bacterium. RNAcentral's name for it is "bacterial SSU rRNA". The stretch from base 1 to 547 matches the Rfam family "Bacterial small subunit ribosomal RNA", at positions 10 to 546 of the family's 1533-position model. The record is from RNAcentral.
AGUUUGAUCCUGGCUCAGAUUGAACGCUGGCGGAAUGCUUUACGCAUGCAAGUCGAGCGGCAGCGCGGGGCAACCUGGCGGCGAGCGGCGAACGGGUGAGUAAUGCAUCGGAACGUGUCCAUACGUGGGGGAUAGCCCGGCGAAAGCCGGAUUAAUACCGCAUACGCCCUUUGGGGGAAAGCGGGGGACUUCGCAAGAGGCCUCGCGCGAUUGGGUCGGCCGAUGUCCGAUUAGCUAGUUGGUGGGGUAAAGGCUCACCAAGGCGAUGAUCGGUAGCUGGUCUGAGAGUGAUGAUCAGUCCACACUGGGACUGAGACUCUGCCCAGUACUCCUACGGGAGGCAGCAGUGGGGAAUUUUGGACAAUGGGGGCAACCCUGAUCCAGCCAUAUCCGCGUGAGUGAGAAGGCCUUCGGGUCGUAAAGCUCUUUUGUCCGGAGCGAAACGGGUUACGUGAAUAUCGUGGCCUACUGACUGUACCGGAAUACUAAGCACCGGCUAACUACGUGCCAGCAGCCGCAGUAAUACGUACCGGUGCGAGCGUAAAUCGGGAAUUACGUGGGACGUUAAAUGCGUUGCAGCGACGCCGGGUGUUUGUUAAUGCCCACGAAAUGUUUGACCACGCCCACCCGGGGGCCUUUAAUGCCCUGGGGGAUAUUGGCCAUUGCCUGGGGAACCUGCNGAGGGACUUCCCAACCUGCCGUCAUGGAGGGACAGACUUGCGAAUUUCCCUUGGGUUGUUACCACGUUUGAACAUGCCUUACCAAUUCUCCNGUAAGGCAACCCCCCCAUGGGCCUAUAGG